Molecule: transfer RNA, 71 nt
Filed under: Cordylochernes scorpioides
Lineage: Eukaryota; Metazoa; Arthropoda; Arachnida; Pseudoscorpiones; Chernetidae
Description: tRNA-Glu
Source: RNAcentral
GUCGGUGGAAAGCUGGUUAAACCAUUUGGUUUUCAACCACAUCGACCCGGGUUCGAUUCCCGCAUUGGACA